RNAcentral lists this long non-coding RNA (1929 nucleotides) under Oreochromis niloticus (Nile tilapia). RNAcentral's name for it is "lncRNA (ENSONIG00000029328.1)". Lineage: Eukaryota; Metazoa; Chordata; Actinopteri; Cichliformes; Cichlidae. The record is from RNAcentral.
GAUAAAGCCUCUUCUCACCCACAAUCUGGUAUUCAUCUUCUUUUAUGUUGCGGCCUUGAGCCGGGUCGUAACAGAAUUGGGGGCUCGUCCGGGAUUCAUCUGUCUUCGCUGGAGGGUCCGAGGGACCGCUUCAGCAUUCCGUCGUCGCUGGAGGGUCCGAGGGACCGCUUCAGCAUUCGUCUGUCUUCGCUGGAGCGUCCAAGUGUCCAGCCUUCAUUCGUCUCCGCUGGAGGGGUCCAAGGGGCCUGUCCAGCCAACAUUCGUCUUCGCUGGAGGGUCCGAGGGGCCUGUCCAGCCUUCGUCCGUCUCCGCUGGAGGGUCCGAGGGACCGCUUCAGCAUUCGUCCAUCUUCGCUGGGGGGUCCGAGGGACCGUUUCAGCCUUCCGUUUCCGCUGGAGGGGUCCAAGGGGCCUGUCCAGCCAACAUUCGUCUUCGCUGGAGGGUCCGAGGGGCCUGUCCAGCCUUCGUCCGUCUCCGCUGGAGGGUCCGAGGGACCGCUUCAGCAUUCGUCCGUCUUCGCUGGAGGGUCCGAGGGACCGCUUCAGCCUUCCGUUUCCGCUGGAGGGGUCCAAGGGGCCUGUCCAGCCAACAUUCGUCUUCGCUGGAGGGUCCGAGGGGCCUGUCCAGCAUUCGUCCGUCUUCGCUGGAGGGUCCGAGGGACCGCUUCAGCCUUCCGUUUCCGCUGGAGGGGUCCAAGGGGCCUGUCCAGCCAACAUUCGUCUUCGCUGGAGGGUCCGAGGGGCCUGUCCAGCAUUCGUCCGUCUUCGCUGGAGGGUCCGAGGGACCGCUUCAGCCUUCCGUUUCCGCUGGAGGGGUCCAAGGGGCCUGUCCAGCCAACAUUCGUCUUCGCUGGAGGGUCCGAGGGGCCUGUCCAGCCUUCGUCCGUCUUCGCUGGAGGGUCCGAGGGACCGCUUCAGCCUUCCGUUUCCGCUGGAGGGGUCCAAGGGGCCUGUCCAGCCAACAUUCGUCUUCGCUGGAGGGUCCGAGGGACCGCUUCAGCAUUCCGUCUUCGCUGGAGGGUCCGAGGGACCGCUUCAGCCUUCAGUCUCCGCUGGAGGGUCCAAGGGGCCUGUCCAGCCAUCAUUCGUCUUCGCUGGAGGGUCCGGAGGACCGCUUCAGCAUUCUGUUUCAGCUGGAGGGUCCAAGGGGCCUGUCCAGCCUUCAUUCGUCUCCGCUGGAGGGGUCCAAGGGGCCUGUCCAGCCAACAUUCGUCUUCGCUGGAGGGUCCGAGGGGCCUGUCCAGCAUUCGUCCGUCUUCGUUGGAGGGUCCGGAGGACCACUUCAGCCUUCCGUUUCCGCUGGAGGGGUCCAAGGGGCCUGUCCAGCCAACAUUCGUCUUCGCUGGAGGGUCCGAGGGGCCUGUUCAGCCUUCGUCUGUCAUCGCUGGAGGGUCCGAGGGACCGCUUCAGCAUUCCGUCUUCGCUGGAGGGUCCGAGGGACCGCUUCAGCCUUCCAUUUCCGCUGGAGGGGUCCAAGGGGCCUGUCCAGCCAACAUUCGUCUCCGCUGGAGGGGUCCAAGGGGCCUGUCCAGCCAACAUUCGUCUUCGCUGGAGGGUCCGAGGGGCCUGUCCAGCAUUCGUCCGUCUUCGCUGGAGGGUCCGAGGGACCGCUUCAGCAUUCUGUUUCAGCUGGAGGGACCGCUUCAGCAUUCAUUCGUCGUCGCUGGAGGGUCCGAGGGACCGCUUAAGCAUUCUGUUUCAGCUGGAGGGUCCGAGCGGCCCGUCCGGCCUUCGUCUGUCUUCGCUGGAGGGUCCGAGCGGCCCGUCCGGCAUUCGUCUGCCUCCGCUGGAGGGUCCGAGGGACCGCUUCAGCAUUCCGUCCGCCGGCAGAAUAGCGGCCAGUGCCUUGUGCGCUGGUCCUCCAGGACUACAGCAUUCAUGGCUCUCUAGGUCAUGGAUCAAACAUUUUCAUUUGGGGUUAAAUGUUUGA